CCUACGGGUGGCAGCAGUGGGGAAUAUUGCACAAUGGGGGAAACCCUGAUGCAGCGACGCCGCGUGAAGGAAGAAGUAUUUCGGUAUGUAAACUUCUAUCAGCAGGGAAGAAAAUGACGGUCCCUGACUAAGAAGCCCCGGCUAACUACGUGCCAGCAGCCGCGGUAAUACGUAGGGGGCAAGCGUUAUCCGGAUUUUCUGGGGGUAAAGGGAGCGUAGGCGGCGUUGCAAGUCAGAAGUGAAAGCCCGGGGCUCAACUACGGGACUGCUUUUGAAACUGUAUGGCUAGAUUGCAGGAGAGGUAAGAGGAAUUCCUAGUGUAGCGGUGAAAUGCGUAGAUAUUAGGAGGAACACCAGUGGCGAAGGCGGCUUACUGGACUGUAACUGACGUUGAGGCUCGAAAGCGUGGGGAGCAAACAGGAUUAGAUACCCCUGUAGUC
RNAcentral lists this ribosomal RNA (440 nucleotides) under uncultured bacterium. Its description in RNAcentral is "partial 16S ribosomal RNA". It matches the Rfam family "Bacterial small subunit ribosomal RNA", at positions 338 to 795 of the family's 1533-position model. The record is from RNAcentral.